GAGGGUCUGCCGAGUGACUUCUGUUCACUGUGAGAGGCUCAUCUCAGGGGCUUCAUGGCCUGGGGGAUGGCAGCCUGUUUGAACUGAUCGAGCAAUCUCACGCUACCCUUAUUUUCUGAAACACCCGUGAGUGACUUUUUCACACGUUCUUUGAAGCGGCGUCAUGCCCGUGCUCCUUGGUAAUGAGCGAAUGCUUUUGUUGACCCCUCAUCCCCUUUCCUUGGGGUGUGUUCCGGACUCGGUUCUCACGCGUUCUGCUUCUACGGGAAUCUCUGAAGCUGCUGAGUGUAGAAAGCACUGAGGAGGCUGUGCUCCCACCCCCGUGAGCCUUCCAGGCAUCGUCCUCUCCCCUCAGCGAGGCGACGUCCAUGGCACACCGAGGAGGCUGUGCUCCUGUCCCCCGUAAGCCUUCCAGGCGUCCUCCUCUCCCCUCCAGGGGGACAGGAGGAACCUUUCAAACCCUUCUUAAACUUGUUUCCAUGUCUUUGUUUUAACAGAUUUCUUUGCAUCUUCUCCCUUAUCCAGAAGUGAGGGUGUGAACGCUGAGUUAUUCCCAGGAGUCAAGAAACCACACACGGCCCAAAGUGACAUUUGUUUCCCCGAAAUGAUUUGUGUGUGUUCACCUUAAAAUGCAGCUCAGUAAAACAGGUGUGUGUUUUGAGGAAUGACUUGAAAUUACCCUGGUAAAGAUGUGACAGUUCCAUUUCAUCCAGUCUGUGCAGGUGUCCACAACCCCCUUCAGUGGUUGCGUGUGAGUUUAUGUGACUUGGGGUUUUUUAUUUAUUUAUUUAUUUUUUAUUUUUUUUGAAGAAAGAAAAUCUUGUUGCUGGGGACUUCAGAGGGUGUGCUGGGAUUGUGUGGGGCGGACAUCGGGGGCUUCAGUGUGUGGCCUCCUUGAAAAGACGUUCAAAUUCAGGCUGAGCGUCCCUACUCCAAAAUGCUCUGAAACCUGAAACAUUCCGAGCUCUCCCUCAUAUGACACUCGCAGGAAAUGCUCUUCGGAGCACUUUGGAUUUCAGGCUGGGGAUGCUCAACCAGAAAGCGAAAUACUGCAAGAGCCUUCUUGCCCCAGGAGCUUGGAUGAGGACAUGUGGCCUGUGCCGGGCAUCCGUGGCGUGCGAGGCAGCCUGGACUCGCUGGACUGGUUUUUGUAGGAGUCACAGAAGGGAAGGAGAGGGUCAAAGUGGCCACGCCUGGCUCCUGAGAUAGGGCGGAGCAGAGGGAGGUGGGCGCGGAGGGCAGCAGCGGAGUCCCCAGCGUCCGGGGCUCCUGUCCCUGGUGGAGUUGAGAGCCUCCUCUAGUUGUGGCCUCUGCCCUGUCAGCAGCCACUGAGGCCUGGAGGGAGCUGGGGGCUGAGGGGGAGGAGGAAGGGACAGGCCUGCUUCUGGAGAGGGCUGGCGUCAACCUGUGCUAGCCUCGUGUGCUACUCCUGCGUCCGGGGUGCACGGCCGUGCCUCGUGCCUCGUGCCUCGUGGCGCAGCGGUUCCCGGGGUGCGCAGCACUCUUGUCUUGCAGUAACGGCUUUGUCUCCAACCCUUGGAGGCAAGUUACCUUUUCCCCCUCCCCCUUCCCCCACCCCCCCCAGUGAAAAGAGGUAGAGAAUCUUACAGAAAUGCAUUUGCUGGAAUGUCUCUUUUCCGAUAAAUCUGAAAGUAUCUCCUAGUGAGUCUCGUGUGUAGAGUAAGGACAGUUCAUGCAUAUCUUAAAGCAGGUACAUCUAGCAACGCAGAGCAUCCCGGUGCUAGGAUGGAGUUUCCCACUAACUCUGGGAGUGGAAUCUGUAGAGCCUCGGGUGCUUGCACCAUGAGGUUAGCGAGGGUGCAGGUGCACCCACAGCCCUGCCUGUGCCGCGUCCCUUCUGCUAUAGAGCGUCUGCCGGGGCCUGCGUGGGUCGCCUGAGCGUUGCUGUUCCCUUUUUCACAUGAGCCUUUUUAUCGAAUACUAGGAUAAACUUGACCUCACAUACUUGGUGGGGAGAGAGAGAAGUAUAUCUGGGACCUCUUUAAUUCUAUGUUGGAAAAUAGAUUUGGGCAAAAUAUUUCUGCAUAUGCGUGCUUGGUGGGCGUGGGGUUCCCUGCCGCACCCUGGGGCACGUUCGCACGCACAUUGUGAUUUAAUCUUGGGUCUAUGGCAACAAAACUGUAGAAGUUGGCUAUGACUGACUUUCUCAGAUCUAGAAACAAACAUACAAUUGGAAUCAUCAUCUAUUGGACUUCUUUGUAAAACCUGAUUUGAGCUAUCAUUUUUGCUUGGUAUGUUAACAGUUUCAAACUCAAAUGUCACAAGGAGGAAUUGUUACCAUUUUGUUUUCGUAUCAACAUAUUGCUUCGCCAAGUCUCUUCUCACUAAUAGUUAUCCUUCCUCUGAAUGCGGCGUAAUUGUUAUAGAAUUAAGAAAAAGGUUGGUUGGGCACGCUGGCUUAUGCCUGUAAUGUAAUCGCAGCACUUUGUGAGGCCAAGGAGUUCAAGAGCAGCCUGGACAACAGAGCAAGACACCCCAUCUCUCUCACGACAGAAAAAUUAGCUGAGUAUGGUGGUGCGUGCCUGUGGUCCCUGCUACUCUGGAGUCCGAGGUGGGAAGAACACUUAAGGCUACGGUGAGCUGUGAUUGCUCCACUGUACUCCAGUCUUGGUGACAGAGCCAAGACCCUGUCUCA
Chlorocebus sabaeus (green monkey) is the source of this 2656-nucleotide non-coding RNA. The record is from RefSeq and is a predicted model, not a curated record. Lineage: Eukaryota; Metazoa; Chordata; Mammalia; Primates; Cercopithecidae.